CCAGGGUCAGAGACGUCCCGUGAGAGAGAGAGACAGGUUGAGGUUUCCAGGAUCAGAGACGUCCCGUGUGAGAGAGAGAGAGACAGGUUGAGGUUUCCAGGGUCAGAGACGUCCCGUGAGAGAGAGAGAGAGAGAGAGAGACAGGUUGAGGUUUCCAGGAUCAGAGACGUCCCGUGUGAGAGAGAGACAGGUUGAGGUUUCCAGGGUCAGAGACGUCCCGUGUGAGAGAGAGAGAGAGGCAGGUUGAGGUUUCCAGGGUCAGAGACGUCCCGUGUGAGAGAGAGAGAGAGGCAGGUUGAGGUUUCCAGGAUCAGAGACGUCCCGUGUGAGAGAGAGAGAGAGAGGCAGGUUGAGGUUUCCAGGGUCAGAGACGUCCCGUGUGAGAGAGAGACAGAUUGAGGUUUCCAGGGUCAGAGACGUCCCGUGUGAGAGAGAGAGACAGGUUGAGGUUUCCAGGAUCAGAGACGUCCCGUGUGAGAGAGAGAGACAGGUUGAGGUUUCCAGGAUCAGAGACGUCCCGUGAGAGAGAGAGAGACAGGUUGAGGUUUCCAGGAUCAGAGACGUCCCGUGUGAGAGAGAGAGACAGGUUGAGGUUUCCAGGAUCAGAGACGUCCCGUGAGAGAGAGAGAGACAGGUUGAGGUUUCCAGGAUCAGAGACGUCCCGUGUGAGAGAGAGAGACAGGUUGAGGUUUCCAGGGUCAGAGACGUCCCGUGUGAGAGAGAGAGACAGGUUGAGGUUUCCAGGGUCAGAGACGUCCCGUGUGAGAGAGAGACAGGUUGAGGUUUCCAGGAUCAGAGACGUCCCAAAGUUGUCAUAUGUUGAGGCAGUGGAGAAAGUAGAGGAAGAUGGGUCAAGAGAAGUAGAUCUGUACCAGUACAGAGGGAUAAACCAACAAGUGAUAUAUAUAUAUAUAUGUUUCAGUAAGAUUGGACUUUUAUAAUGUAUACUUAUUCUCCACCAUAAUUUGCAAAUAAAUUCAUUAAAAAUCCUACAAUGUGAUUUUCUGGAUUUUUUUUCUCAUUUUGUCUGUCAUAGUUGAAGUGUACCGAUGAUGAAAAUUACAGGCCUCUCCCAUCUUUUUAAGUGGGAGAACUUGCACAAUUGGUGGCUGACUAAAUACUUUUUUGCCCCACUGUAUAUAUAUAUAUAUAUAUAUAGCUAUAAAUAGAUGGAUAGAUAUUUAUAGCUCUAUCUAUCUAUAUAUAUAUAUCUAUAUAUAUAUCUAUAUAUCUAUAUAUAUAUAUAUAUAGCUAUCAACUGUACUGCAGGGAGGGAUCGUAAGUCACAGAGAAUAGAGGUUCUGGUGGCAGCUGCAGAGAGGUACUUGGGAGGACGAGAUUUGACGUCAGGAGAUGGGAGAGGCCUGUGUGUUGAGCGGUGGUGGUGUCCUGUCUUUUCAGGCUGUUGGCCUGAGGUACGACUAGAUGGUUAUAAAUAGUGGAGUAGGGUGGGGGGGUUUAGUGUAGGGUUAGAUGGUAGGGUAUUUAAAUAGUGGAUUAGAGUGGUGGGUUGUUAAUGAGUGUAGAGUUAGAUGGUAGAUGUUAGGGUAUAUAAAUAGUGGAGUAGGGUGGGGGGUUGUUAAUGAGUGUAGAGUUAGAUGGUAGAUUGUAGGGUAUUUAAAUAGUGGAGUAGGGUGGGGGUGUUUAGUGUAGGGUUAGAUGGUAGGGUAUUUAAAUAGUGGAGUA
Molecule: long non-coding RNA, 1686 nt
Organism: Oncorhynchus tshawytscha (Chinook salmon)
Lineage: Eukaryota; Metazoa; Chordata; Actinopteri; Salmoniformes; Salmonidae
Source: Ensembl